CCUACGGGGGACAGCAGUGAGGAAUAUUGGUCAAUGGGCGCGAGCCUGAACCAGCCAAGUAGCGUGAAGGAUGACUGCCCUACGGGUUGUAAACUUCUUUUAUAAAGGAAUAAAGUGAGGCACGUGUGCCUUUUUGUAUGUACUUUAUGAAUACGGAUAGGCUAACUCCGUGCCAGCCGCCGCGGUAAUACGGAGGAUCCGAGCGUUAUCCGGAUUUAUUGGGUUUAAAGGGAGCGUAGAUGGGUUGUUAAGUCAGUUGUGAAAGUUUGCGGCUCAACCGUAAAAUUGCAAUUGAUACUGGCAGUCUCGAGGACAGUUGAGGUAGGCGGAAUGCGUGGUGUAGCGGUGAAAGGCUUAGAUAUCAAGAAGAACUCCGAUUGCGAAGGCAGCUUACUAAACUGCCACUGACAUUGAUGCUCGAAAGUGUGGGUAUCAAACAGGAUUAGAUACCCGGGUAGUC
RNAcentral lists this ribosomal RNA (460 nucleotides) under uncultured bacterium. RNAcentral's name for it is "partial 16S ribosomal RNA". It matches the Rfam family "Bacterial small subunit ribosomal RNA", at positions 338 to 795 of the family's 1533-position model. The record is from RNAcentral.